Apis laboriosa (Himalayan honeybee) is the source of this 4011-nucleotide long non-coding RNA. RefSeq lists it as uncharacterized. The transcript has 4 exons. The record is from RefSeq and is a predicted model, not a curated record. NCBI's taxonomy places the organism in Eukaryota, Metazoa, Arthropoda, Insecta, Hymenoptera, Apidae.
CCCGCCGACCAAUAGCUAUUGAUCAGCGGCUCUCUUGUGUCUGUGCGUGGCCGACGGCUUUGGAAAACGUGCAACAGAUCCUUGGACCGAGCAAUUCGAAAGGGACAUUCGAAGCCACAAGCUUGCCCCUUUAAAGUUGGUCACAAUUUAUUUCGAGCUACGUGGAUACUACGCAGCAUCCUGUUUCCGUCCACGAUCCCUCGCUGUUCGAGAUUUUCCAAUGGAAACUUGACAUGAAGAUGAUUGCACUUCAUUGUGAGAUGGUCCCGAAGAUAGAUCCAAGCUAUGAAAUUACUGUCAAGAUAUCGAAGACAAGAUGAUACGGCCAAUCGUACAAGAAAUUUUAUCUAUUUUUGUUAAAACUUUGUAUAAAUAGAAACACAACUCUCCAGUGUAUUCGUCGAAUAUCUAUUUCCCCGAAAAGAAAUUAGAAUACACAUCAAAACAAGCGUUCCCUCUUUAAUCGGCAGUACUCGAGAUUUAAUCAAUUAAAUCAAAUUACCCGUCACGCAAAAUAUCUAAACCUAGAAACUCCAAUUUUGGAUCCCGAGAGAGCUACCCGUCUCCCUAAACCAGAGUAUUGGCAACCGACGAGAGGCGGUCGCGAUCGAAAGAGACGAGGAGGGUUUAAAAAAGGAGCAGAGCAGCCAGGGUCCGAGGCGUGUUUCAAAAUCGUCGCCGCGACCUUGCCGGCGAGGACGCCGCGUUUCUCCGCCGCGCUGCUCGUUCUCGAUCACCUCUCUCGAUCCAUCGAUCGAUCGAUCAGGUCGGCCCCCGGGUACAGCUGACCGAUGACUAAGAUUACGCGGCACCGGCCGAUUGUAAUUGGCUCGCGCAAAACCUAUCGCGUGCGCACUCGCCUCUAAAACGCAGUAAAUCAGCGGCGGGUUAAGGAUCGCUUAUAAAUAACCAAUUAGAGACACCUGCGUUCGUCCUGUCUCCCGCGUCGAGCGGAGAGCCGACCUUAUAUCCCCGCGGAAUGCAGAUGCGCGACCGUUUCGCUUUGAUCUUUAUUCUUACGCGCGGUAUCGCGCGCCGCCGAUCCUUUGUACCUCUUUGUAUCGACAGUUAUACGUACCAGCUGGCAUUUGUACCUGGCGGACCUUUCGACGGGGAGGAGGGAGGAGGAAAAAGUAUGCGAUGCUGAUUAAUAGGCGAGCCCAAUGGUGUUUCAAUCGCCUUGGAUCCCGGACAGGAAAGCGCGCCCCGUUUCACGGACACAUCUAAGAGGGGAUCUAAGAGGGUUUGUACAGAAGCAAGGAACUGGAUACGAUGAAUGGAGAAAGAUGGGAUGGGCUUUUUCCACUGAUUCUUAUUGAGGAUUCUUAUUCGGAUGUCCAUCUUCGUUUCUGGUUGGGUUGGAAACAUUGGAUGGAAAUAUGGUGGAAAGUAUAUAAUACGUCUGAUGGAUAUCGAUCUUUGGAUCGUCGAGAUAUCAAGUAUACGAUAAUAUCGGGUUUCUCUAAUAUUUCAAUGUCUGGAGAUUUCAUUUCGUUUUCAUUUUUCUAUUCUGCGCGAUAUUAUAAUAUUAUAGAUACUUAUAUCGAUUUUAUCGAUGGAAAUUUUCUUUAGAAUUAUUCCUUAGAACGAGUUUCAAGUGAAAAUUACGAAAAAACGAACCUUGCGAACGCAACAAUACGGUUAUUUAAUCCUUUCACAAUCCAUUUAAUUUAAUUUAAUUUAAUUUCAAACAAUAGUCUCUUAUCGCGAUCAUACCUUCCGAUUAACCGUAGAGGUAACAAAAUCUCACCUAUGAACUUGCCAUUCGUUUCACGAUGCGCUCCGACAGAAGGAACAAAAAGCAACGCGAGAGGAGGACAACGAGGACAGUUAGCCGGUAGGCAAUCGACGAUACAGGGAAAGGAGAGGGACAGCCGAGUAGAACUAUGGAAAGAACAGAGGGAACGAACACGGAGGCUCGCGUCACGGUGUACAUGAAUCGUUGUUUGUGUUGAUCGCCGUGCAACACGCCACGCAGAAACACAUCUGGUCGCGUGGGAAGAUCGCGCUCCCAUUACACGUCGACCAGGUAAAGUUACGCCGUGUUUCUCUAUUCGUUCGAAAUUCGCGCGUCUCCUACAAUUACCUGAAGUACGAUGAGUUCGGUGAUUGGCCCGUUAGCGCGCAUGCGCUUAGAGAAAUUCACGAACCUCGCAUGCGAACGCGUCGCAUUAGUCUUCUUCGAAAAGUGAUUCGUGAAUUUUGUAAUAAAAUAAAAGAUUCAGUUUGUGAUUUCGCUUUGUUCUUUGUUCAAUCUAUCGCCAGUGAUUUUCUUCCAAUCCAAUUUGACGAAAUAUAGAAGUAACUGAUAGCUUCGUUCGCACGUAGGUUGUUUAAUCGACGUGGAGAGCCAAGGGGGAAGGAGGAAAAUUUAAACGUUUAUUAAAACGAUACACGAUAUCGAUUCGAGGCUUGAAAACACUAUUGAAUCAUAAUAUAAUGAGAUAAAAGGAAAUGAAAAAAAUGGGAUACAUCCGAAUUGUUAAGCAACGAAUAGGAUAGAGUGACACGCUUUAUUCUUAUACCAUACCGUUCGAAGAAACUUGACCAAAAACUUCAACGUUCUCGACGUUACGUAAUUACCUAAAAUAUAACUUCGGAAGCGAUCCAAAUCCGAUGUAGAAAGCAAAGAGGCGAGGAUUUCGCCCGCGACGAGACCGAUCCGGUUGACAAUGGGUUGGCAGAGCGGCCGGUUGACAUUAUAAAUCGCAAUCAGUGGCUACCGAGCUACCAAAGGGGGGGAAGGGAGGAGGAAGAUGGGCGAGAGAGAAGGAGCAACAAGGAGAGGGACGGAGCAUUAUGCAACCGAGGGGAUGACCGGAUCAGGAGACAGGUUUAUGGGCGUUAAAAAAUGGCCGGGCCCUUUAAACCGCGUAAUUAAGUGCCGGUAUUUUAAGCAGCAGUCAGAACUCGAAUGCGCGAGUGAAUUAUACCUACGCCGGGAUACGAGUUCAAAACUCACGUGGAAAUUCCUUGGGCAAUUGUUUCCUCGCCGAUAUAUUACGCAGUUUCUCCUCUUUGAAUGGUGGCGCGCGAAACAAUGAACCGAGGGGUGGUGGUACACACGAUGAUAUGACGUUUAAAGAGGAAUUUUUUUUUUUUCUCGGCCGGGGAAAUGGGUGGAGAGAGGAGAGAGAGAGAGAGAGAGAGAGAGAGAGUUGCGUUAAGAUGAGGUAUUUGAGGUGCUUUCACCGUGGAUAUACGCGUGAUAUUUUAAAAGUCCAUUUUCUUCGGACGCUGUUGCGUAACGAUUUAUCGAGCAAUAAGAUCGGCGGAUCGAUAAGCGGGGAAGUUGUAAAUUGCGGUAUUACAGUUCCUGCAAAUGUUUUCUCUACUCUUCAAUGUUAAUUUAGAUGGCAAAAUUUCGCUCGAUAACGGCUCGUGGCGAAAUACGCAACGAAAUUCGCAGUGUACAAAUUAUAUCGAUUUUUUUCAGAGAGAAAUUAUAACAGUGAUAUAUCGAACUCGACGAAGGAUCAGUUGCAAUAAUGGAUAGAGAUGACAAGGAGGCCAAUUGCUGAUCGUAAAACGCUGAUCAAGGUUCUCUCUCGAGAAUAGAAACAAGGGCGCCAAGUGAUUUCUCGAAAAUUAAACACGUGCGAGAGUGUAAUAGCGUGGAAUCUAGUGAAUCACUUACGGUUUCCCGAGAACUGGUAACAAGUGGAUGCAGAUGAAAGUUCGAUGCUUACCUGCAACAGAAAGAAACCGGCAAUUAAACUCGUUGGCUCGUUGCGUCACCAAUCUUAUUUCGAAAUCUCUUUCGACGUUGAGGUAAACGUUUAGAAAUUGCAAUUCGUUUCAAGAAUUGUUCUAAAAAUUUAUAAUACGAUGUACUUGAUGGCAUUGUUGAAUGGUGUUUGAUUGAAUUCAAAAUAAAAAAUUAUGUCUCAUUUAUGGAAAUUUCAGAAUCAGGAAAUAUUUAUUUUUCUCGAUUCCGAAGCGGUUAAAAUAUCAUACAAAUAAAUUUUUAAAAAUUACAUUUAUUGUUUACAAUAAUACAUGAAGAAACAA